AGAGUUUGAUCCUGGCUCAGGAUGAACGCUAGCGGGAGGCCUAACACAUGCAAGCCGAGCGGUAUUUGUCUUUCGGGACAGAGAGAGCGGCGUACGGGUGCGUAACACGUGUGCAACCUGCCUUUAUCUGGGGGAUAGCCUUUCGAAAGGGAGAUUAAUACCCCAUAAUAUAUAGACUGGCAUCAGUUUAUAUUGAAAACUCCGGUGGAUAGAGAUGGGCACGCGCAAGAUUAGAUAGUUGGUGAGGUAACGGCUCACCAAGUCGAUGAUCUUUAGGGGGCCUGAGAGGGUGAUCCCCCACACUGGUACUGAGACACGGACCAGACUCCUACGGGAGGCAGCAGUGAGGAAUAUUGGACAAUGGGUGCGAGCCUGAUCCAGCCAUCCCGCGUGAAGGACUAAGGCCUUAUGGGUUGUAAACUUCUUUUAUACUGGGAUAAACCUACUUACGCGUAAGUAGCUGAAGGUACAGUAUGAAUAAGCACCGGCUAACUCCGUGCCAGCCGCCGCGGUAAUAC
This 518-nucleotide ribosomal RNA is filed under the name uncultured Flavobacteriaceae bacterium. RNAcentral's name for it is "bacterial SSU rRNA". It matches the Rfam family "Bacterial small subunit ribosomal RNA", at positions 8 to 526 of the family's 1533-position model. The record is from RNAcentral. Lineage: Bacteria; Pseudomonadati; Bacteroidota; Flavobacteriia; Flavobacteriales; Flavobacteriaceae.